Molecule: long non-coding RNA, 1513 nt
Organism: Mus musculus (house mouse)
Lineage: Eukaryota; Metazoa; Chordata; Mammalia; Rodentia; Muridae
Product: predicted gene, 57502
Exons: 2
Source: RefSeq, a predicted model, not a curated record
GACAUUAAGUCCUCCCACAUUUGAAGUUCUAGUUUGUAUCUCCUUGAAUGAUUCCUCAAUAAUCAACAGGCCAUGAACGUACUUCUCCCUCAACCUGUGUUACCUUCUUCCUUACCUUCAUCUCUGUCACUCUUCAGAAGUGCAUUGAUUCAUCAAACAGAACUGGCUACCCACUCUUGUUUAUGUAGAACACUACUAUUAUUCAAAUUGCUAUGCUACUCUAAUAUUAACUUUCGGGGGACCCCUUCUUGUUUAGGGCUGAGGAUACAGCUCAGCCGUAGAGUGCUUGCCCAGCUCUGCUGAGGCCCUCCCUGACUUCCAACGUCCAGGAUCCUUGUCAGGAAGUAAACAGAAAUGCGCCUGGUCCCUUGCACGGGUCUGGGCUCUCGGUGAAUGAAGGGAUGAAUUGCCUGUGGUAUUGGUCUCCUCUGGAGUCCCAAGCUCUUGUGAGACUUGAGCUUGAGGAAAGGAAGGCUUUUGACUUCAGUGUGCUCCAAAACCAUGCCAGGAAUGCCAGACAGUGAGACAUACCCAGUGGGUGACAAUAAUUAGUGCUCCCACCCAUCCCAACAGAGGGAGUGCCUCUGUGUUUCCUAACCUACCCUACACAUGAGAGUUCUUAGAAAGCUGAAAACACAGGGAUGGGCCACCAGGGCCUUGUUCCCAGCUCUCCCCGACCCUUCUGUUGAUAGAACUCUGUUGCUAUAGAGAUGGCCAUUCCUCUAGGGAGAAGAGUUGAGUGAAGCCUGCAGAGAGGCCUCCUGGGAACAGAACAGUGCAUGGAGUCUCUCCACCCAGUCAUUCACUUCCUCCUCUACAUGCUCGCCUACUCCUGCGUCUACUCCUGUCUGUAUUUGUUGGUUUAUUUUAUUAGCAUCUUUACAGAGGAUUAGGCAACCCGCUGGACACAAGCCUCUUUGGGUACAGAAAACCCUACCCACUGCCCAUGUCCUUCGCACCGAUGGAUAGGCCAGCGCGCUUCACUGGCCGCUUCAGAGGCGUGAGGACGUCUGCAGUCUCUCAUCUUCCUUUAGUCGAGCUCUUCCCAACGUUGCUGAUUAGAACCCAGUGCUCUCCGGGAAGCACAGAAAUUGGAUCAAUCUGUAAAGCCAAACGGAGAUGAAGGGCGUUCGGUCUCUGGGAAUGAAUAUGUAACGCCUCUGCUCUCCAAAGACUCCUUUUGUGUAACUCAGCUUUCAACAGUCCGACAUCCAAAGAAGGCAGACAUACCACCCUGACAACUUAAAUAAAAUUUUCAACUUUUUUUUUUGUUAAAUAUUAAAGAAUGGUUUGGGUGACUUGGGACAGAAACUUACUUUUCAUGUAGUGAGUACUAUUAAUUCGGUAGGUGUUUCAGAGAUCUCUGGUUGAGAUAAGAUGUGUUGUUGAGAAGUACUUGCAAAUCUUUGUAUCCUUCACAGCUCUGGUUGAGAAAAUCAUAAAAUCAGCAGGUCUAUGAAUUAGAGAUAUUUGGAAAUGUGAAUAAGAAAUAAAUUCCAACCUGAUACCUUUA